GCCCGGGUGGUGAAAUCGGUAGACACAAGGGAUUUAAAAUCCCUCGACCUCACAGUCGUGCCGGUUCAAGUCCGGCCUCGGGCACCA
This 87-nucleotide transfer RNA is filed under the name Deltaproteobacteria bacterium. Its description in RNAcentral is "tRNA-Leu". It matches the Rfam family "tRNA". Rfam says of the family: Transfer RNA (tRNA) molecules are approximately 80 nucleotides in length. Their secondary structure includes four short double-helical elements and three loops (D, anti-codon, and T loops). Further hydrogen bonds mediate the characteristic L-shaped molecular structure. tRNAs have two regions of fundamental functional importance: the anti-codon, which is responsible for specific mRNA codon recognition, and the 3' end, to which the tRNAs corresponding amino acid is attached (by aminoacyl-tRNA synthetases). tRNAs cope with the degeneracy of the genetic code in two manners: having more than one tRNA (with a specific anti-codon) for a particular amino acid; and 'wobble' base-pairing, i.e. permitting non-standard base-pairing at the 3rd anti-codon position. The record is from RNAcentral. RNAcentral also lists the same sequence under 2 other names. Lineage: Bacteria; Pseudomonadati; Myxococcota; Myxococcia.